RNAcentral lists this ribosomal RNA (468 nucleotides) under uncultured bacterium. RNAcentral describes it as "partial 16S ribosomal RNA". It matches the Rfam family "Bacterial small subunit ribosomal RNA", at positions 28 to 507 of the family's 1533-position model. The record is from RNAcentral.
GACGAACGCUGGCGGCGUGCUUAACACAUGCAAGUCGAACGGAAAGGCCCUGCUUUUGUGGGGUGCUCGAGUGGCGAACGGGUGAGUAACAAGUGAGUAACCUGCCCUUGACUUUGGGAUAACUUCAGGAAACUGGGGCUAAUACCGGAUAGGAGCUCCUGCUGCAUGGUGGGGGUUGGAAAGUUUCGGCGGUUGGGGAUGGACUCGCGGCUUAUCAGCUUGUUGGUGGGGUAGUGGCUUACCAAGGCUUUGACGGGUAGCCGGCCUGAGAGGGUGACCGGCCACAUUGCGACUGAGAUACGGCCCAGACUCCAACGGUAGGCAGCAGUGGGGAAUAUUGCACAAUGGGCGGACGCCUGAUGCAGCAACGCCGCGUGCGUGAUGACGGCCUUCGGGUUGUAAACCGCUUUCGCCUGUGACGAAGAGUGAGUGACGGUAAUGGGUAAAGAAGCACCGGCUAACUACGUG